GACGAACCGAGCGAACGUUGUUCGGAAUCACUGGGCUUAAAGGGCGCGUAGGCGGGUGAUCAAGUCCGGGGUGAAAUCCUCCAGCUCAACUGGAGAACUGCCUCGGAUACUGGUUGCCUCGAGGAAGGUAGGGGUGUGUGAAACGUUCAGUGGAGCGGUGAAAUGCAUUGAUAUUGAACGGAACUCCGGUGGCGAAGGCGACACACUGGACCUUUUCUGACGCUGAGGCGCGAAAGCUAGGGGAGCAAACGGG
This 253-nucleotide ribosomal RNA is filed under the name uncultured bacterium. Its description in RNAcentral is "partial 16S ribosomal RNA". It matches the Rfam family "Bacterial small subunit ribosomal RNA", at positions 524 to 776 of the family's 1533-position model. The record is from RNAcentral.